RNAcentral lists this ribosomal RNA (317 nucleotides) under uncultured bacterium. RNAcentral's name for it is "bacterial SSU rRNA". It matches the Rfam family "Bacterial small subunit ribosomal RNA", at positions 28 to 334 of the family's 1533-position model. The record is from RNAcentral.
GAUGAACGCUAGCUACAGGCUUAACACAUGCAAGUCGAGGGGCAGCAUGGUCUUAGCUUGCUAAGGCUGAUGGCGACCGGCGCACGGGUGAGUAACACGUAUCCAACCUGCCGUCUACUCUUGGCCAGCCUUCUGAAAGGAAGAUUAAUCCAGGAUGGGAUCAUGAGUUCACAUGUCCGCAUGAUUAAAGGUAUUUUCCGGUAGACGAUGGGGAUGCGUUCCAUUAGAUAGUAGGCGGGGUAACGGCCCACCUAGUCAACGAUGGAUAGGGGUUCUGAGAGGAAGGUCCCCCACAUUGGGACUGAGACACGGCCCAG